This 424-nucleotide ribosomal RNA is filed under the name uncultured prokaryote. Its description in RNAcentral is "bacterial SSU rRNA". It matches the Rfam family "Bacterial small subunit ribosomal RNA", at positions 355 to 774 of the family's 1533-position model. The record is from RNAcentral.
UUAAGAAUCUUGCGCAAUGGGGGAAACCCUGACGCAGCGACGCCGCGUGGACGAUGAAGGCCUUCGGGUUGUAAAGUCCGAUAAGCGGGGAAGAAUAAGCAACGGGUAAUAUUCGUUGUGAUGACGGUACCUGCCUAAAGCCCCGGCUAACUACGUGCCAGCAGCCGCGGUAAUACGUAUGGGGCUAGCGUUGGUCGGAAUUAUUGGGCGUAAAGGGCGGCUAGGCGGGGGAUUAAGUUGGGUGUGAAAUCCCUGGGCUCAACCCAGGAACUGCAUCCAAAACUGUUUCUCUUGAGUUCGGGAGAGGAGAGCGGAAUUCCCGGUGUAGCGGUGAAAUGCGUAGAUAUCGGGAAGAACACCAGUGGCGAAGGCGGCUCUCUGGCCUAGAACUGACGCUGAAGCGCGAAAGCGUGGGGAGCGAACG